RNAcentral lists this small RNA (100 nucleotides) under Clostridiales bacterium oral taxon 876 str. F0540. RNAcentral's name for it is "Guanidine-I riboswitch aptamer". It matches the Rfam family "Guanidine-I riboswitch aptamer". From Rfam's summary of the family: This family represents a conserved RNA structure found upstream of the ykkC and yxkD genes in Bacillus subtilis and related genes in other bacteria. The function of this family is unclear although it has been suggested that it may function to switch on efflux pumps and detoxification systems in response to harmful environmental molecules. The record is from Rfam by way of RNAcentral. Lineage: Bacteria; Bacillati; Bacillota; Clostridia; Eubacteriales. RNAcentral also lists the same sequence under 1 other name.
AUCAAUGUUUUCUAGGGUUCCGAAGCUUUAAAACGCUUGACUGGUCCAAGAGAAAACGCACAGUUUACUGUGUACACGGAGGGACAAAAGCCCGGGAGAU